UACGUAGGGCGCAAGCGUUGUCCGGAAUUAUUGGGCGUAAAGAGCUCGUAGGCGGUUUGCCGCGUCUGCCGUGAAAGCCCGGGGCUCAACCCCGGGUCUGCGGUGGGUACGGGCAGACUGGAGUGCAGUAGGGGAGACCGGAAUUCCUGGUGUAGCGGUGAAAUGCGUAGAGAUCAGGAGGAACACCCGUGGCGAAGGCGGCCCUCUGGCUCGACCCUGACGCUGAGGCGCGAAAGCAUGGGGAGCGAACAGG
RNAcentral lists this ribosomal RNA (253 nucleotides) under uncultured bacterium. RNAcentral describes it as "partial 16S ribosomal RNA". It matches the Rfam family "Bacterial small subunit ribosomal RNA", at positions 524 to 776 of the family's 1533-position model. The record is from RNAcentral.